RNAcentral lists this ribosomal RNA (274 nucleotides) under uncultured bacterium. RNAcentral's name for it is "partial 16S ribosomal RNA". It matches the Rfam family "Bacterial small subunit ribosomal RNA", at positions 523 to 796 of the family's 1533-position model. The record is from RNAcentral.
AUACGGAGGGUGCGAGCGUUAAUCGGAAUUACUGGGCGUAAAGCGUACGUAGGCGGUUUGCUAAGUCAGAUGUGAAAGCCCCGGGCUUAACCUGGGAACUGCAUUUGAUACUGGCAGACUAGAGUAUGAUAGAGGGGGGUAGAAUUCCUGGUGUAGCGGUGAAAUGCGUAGAUAUCAGGAGGAAUACCAGUGGCGAAGGCGGCCCCCUGGAUCAAUACUGACGCUGAGGUACGAAAGCGUGGGGAGCGAACAGGAUUAGAAACCCGAGUAGUCC